CCGUAGACCCGGAAGGCGCGGGCCUUAGUGGCGGACGGGUGAGUAACGCGUGGGGAACCUGCCCCGUACCGGGGGAUAACACCUGGAAACAGGUGCUAAUACCGCAUAACAGAAGGGGACGCAUGUUUCUUUCUUGAAAACUCCGGUGGUACGGGAUGGACCCGCGUCUGAUUAGCUGGUUGGCGGGGUAACGGCCCACCAAGGCGACGAUCAGUAGCCGGCCUGAGAGGGCGGACGGCCACAUUGGGACUGAGACACGGCCCAAACUCCUACGGAAGGCAGCAG
This 285-nucleotide ribosomal RNA is filed under the name uncultured bacterium. RNAcentral describes it as "partial 16S ribosomal RNA". It matches the Rfam family "Bacterial small subunit ribosomal RNA", at positions 66 to 354 of the family's 1533-position model. The record is from RNAcentral.